RNAcentral lists this ribosomal RNA (253 nucleotides) under uncultured bacterium. RNAcentral's name for it is "partial 16S ribosomal RNA". It matches the Rfam family "Bacterial small subunit ribosomal RNA", at positions 524 to 776 of the family's 1533-position model. The record is from RNAcentral.
UACGGGGGGGGCAAGCGUUGUUCGGAAUUACUGGGCGUAAAGGGCUCGUAGGUGGCCAACUAAGUCAGACGUGAAAUCCCUCAGCUUAACUGGGGAACUGCGUCUGAUACUGGAUGGCUUGAGUUUGGGAGAGGGAUGCGGAAUUCCAGGUGUAGCGGUGAAAUGCGUAGAUAUCGGAAGGAACACCGGUGGCGAAAGCGGCUUCCUGGACCAGCACCGACACUCAGGCGCGAAAGCGUGGGGAGCAAACGGG